CGGAGAACAGGCGCUCCCCGCCCGCCGUCAGGAGCGUCACCAGGCCGUAGCCCAGCACGCGGGGAUGCUGCAGGUCGUUAGACUGGAUAUAUUGUAUUGACUUCUGCCUCCUUUAUUCCCCCAGAUGAUUAUUUUAACCCUGAGGACCUAGAUGUGGCCAGUCUUUGCUGGGACCACUGUCGUCAUCGUCAUCGUCACCAUCUGACACCGGCUUUUAUCAAGGGUUGCUCCCUGAGCCUGGAUGCCAAUCAUUCACCUCUCCCUGGCAAAAGUAAUAAAUCAUAGCGAGAAACUGACUGCUUUUGAAGAAUAUAGAAGAUAAAGAAACUGAGUGUUUGAGAACUGGAAGGUGGCAAAAAGCAGCAGGAGGCGAAGAGGAAAAGAUCAAGUGGAAAGAGUCAGCACCAUGUGUACUUUGCUCAGCUCGGAACUUGAACCCUUCUACAGAGAUCACGUCUGUCUGAGCCUCUUGAAUUGCCAACCUUGUGAUAAACAAUAGGUAAACGUAUCCAGGGAGAAACAGGGCAACACCAAGGAGACAACAGGGCCAUAGGACAGGUUCCAGGUACAGCUGAAGGGCCAUCUGGACACCCACUCCCACCCACUUUCGUCAGAGUCACCAAGCACAGUGGGGGGUCGGGGUGGAGCCACAGGCGCUGACAGAGUAGUGACUCCCCCACAACUUCCUCCUUCCUGCCCAGCUCAGCCUGUUUACUCAGCAGACUUGUCUGGUGUAAAGC
Long non-coding RNA from Lynx canadensis (Canada lynx), 740 nucleotides. RefSeq lists it as uncharacterized. The record is from RefSeq and is a predicted model, not a curated record. The transcript is spliced from 5 exons. Lineage: Eukaryota; Metazoa; Chordata; Mammalia; Carnivora; Felidae.